Pelobates cultripes (western spadefoot toad) is the source of this 434-nucleotide non-coding RNA. The record is from the annotation of a GenBank genome assembly. Lineage: Eukaryota; Metazoa; Chordata; Amphibia; Anura; Pelobatidae.
CCUAGUGCCUCCAUGUCUCUCAGUGCCUCAAGUGUCACAAUGUCCCCAUGUUUCCAAGCUAGUGGCCCUGGUGUCUGUGUCCCCGUGUCUCCCAGUCCCCCCAUGUCUCAAUGUCCCCAUGUCCCCCAGCCAGUGUCUCUAGUGUCUGUGUCCCAGGUGUCUGUGUCCCCAUGUCUUCAAGUGUCCCCUAUUUUCCCAUUGUCCCCAUGUGUCCCAGCCAGAGUCCCCUAGUCUCCCAGUGUCACUGGUGUCUCCAUGUCCCUAGGUCUCCCCAGGUCUCCCCGUCUUCCUAGUGUCCUAGUGACAUGGGGACCCUGGGAUACAUGAGGACACAGGGAGACAUGGGGCAUUGAGACACUGUGAUACCUGGGGACAUAACACUGGGAGACAUGGGGCACUGAGACACUGAUACACUGAUACAUAGGAACACUGAG